GGGCAUGGUGGCACUUGCCUGUAAUCCCAGCUACUCGGGAGACUGAGGCAGGAGAAUUGCCUGAACCCAGGAGGCAGAGAUUGCAAUUAGCUGAGAUGGCAACACUGUACUUCAGCCUGGAUGACAGAGUGAGGCUCCAUCUCAAACAAAAUAAAACAAAAAAA
Molecule: long non-coding RNA, 164 nt
Organism: Sapajus apella (tufted capuchin)
Lineage: Eukaryota; Metazoa; Chordata; Mammalia; Primates; Cebidae
Exons: 2
Source: RefSeq, a predicted model, not a curated record